Molecule: ribosomal RNA, 468 nt
Filed under: uncultured bacterium
Lineage: Bacteria
Description: partial 16S ribosomal RNA
Rfam family: Bacterial small subunit ribosomal RNA
Source: RNAcentral
GACGAACGCUGGCGGCGUGCUUAACACAUGCAAGUCGAACGGAAAGGCCCUGCUUUUGUGGGGUGCUCGAGUGGCGAACGGGUGAGUAACACGUGAGUAACCUGCCCUUGACUUUGGGAUAACUUCAGGAAACUGGGGCUAAUACCGGAUAGGAGCUCCUGCUGCAUGGUGGGGGUUGGAAAGUUUCGGCGGUUGGGGAUGGACUCGCGGCUUAUCAGCUUGUUGGUGGGGUAGUGGCUUACCAAGGCUUUGACGGGUAGCCGGCCUGAGAGGGUGACCGGCCACAUUGGGACUGAGAUACGGCCCAGAAUCCUACGGGAGGCAGCAGUGGGGAAUAUUGCCCAAUGGGCGGAAGCCUGAUGCAGCAACGCCGCGUGCGGGAUGACGGCCUUCGGGUUGUAAACCGCUUUCGCCUGUGACGAAGCGUGAGUGACGGUAAUGGGUAAAGAAGCACCGGCUAACUACGUG